GAGCCGCGUGGCGUAGUGGUUACGUGCUUGCACUGCCAUUCACACGGUCAGGAGUUCGAACCCCUUGUGGGUCA
This 74-nucleotide transfer RNA is filed under the name Sphaerodactylus townsendi. RNAcentral's name for it is "tRNA-Gly". The record is from RNAcentral. Lineage: Eukaryota; Metazoa; Chordata; Lepidosauria; Squamata; Sphaerodactylidae.